UACGUAGGGCGCAAGCGUUGUCCGGAAUUAUUGGGCGUAAAGAGCUCGUAGGCGGUUUGUCGCGUCUGCUGUGAAAACCUAAGGCUCAACCUUGGGCUUGCAGUGGGUACGGGGCAGACUAGAGUGCGGUAGGGGUGACUGGAAUUCCUGGUGUAGCGGUGGAAUGCGCAGAUAUCAGGAGGAACACCGAUGGCGAAGGCAGGUCACUGGGCCGCAACUGACGCU
RNAcentral lists this ribosomal RNA (225 nucleotides) under uncultured bacterium. Its description in RNAcentral is "partial 16S ribosomal RNA". It matches the Rfam family "Bacterial small subunit ribosomal RNA", at positions 524 to 747 of the family's 1533-position model. The record is from RNAcentral.